AGCGAACGCUGGCGGCAGGCCUAACACAUGCAAGUCGAACGAACUCUUCGGAGUUAGUGGCGGACGGGUGAGUAACACGUGGGAACGUGCCUUUAGGUUCGGAAUAACUCAGGGAAACUUGUGCUAAUACCGAAUGUGCCCUUCGGGGGAAAGAUUUAUCGCCUUUAGAGCGGCCCGCGUCUGAUUAGCUAGUUGGUGAGGUAAAGGCUCACCAAGGCGACGAUCAGUAGCUGGUCUGAGAGGAUGAUCAGCCACAUUGGGACUGAGACACGGCCCAAACUCCUACGGGAGGCAGCAGUGGGGAAUCUUGCGCAAUGGGCGAAAGCCUGACGCAGCCAUGCCGCGUGAAUGAUGAAGGUCUUAGGAUUAUAAAAUUCUUUCACCGGGGACGAUAAUGACGGUACCCGGAGAAGAAGCCCCGGCUAACUUCGUG
RNAcentral lists this ribosomal RNA (433 nucleotides) under uncultured bacterium. RNAcentral describes it as "partial 16S ribosomal RNA". It matches the Rfam family "Bacterial small subunit ribosomal RNA", at positions 29 to 507 of the family's 1533-position model. The record is from RNAcentral.